CGGACGGGUGAGUAACGCGUGGGUAACCUGCCCCAUACAGGGGGAUAACAGCCGGAAACGGCUGCUAAUACCGCAUGUACAUGCGGGGGCGCAUGCCCCUGGAUGGAAAGCAUUAGCGGUAUGGGAUGGGCCCGCGUCUGAUUAGGCAGUUGGCGGGGUAACGGCCCACCAAACCAACGAUCAGUAGCUGGUCUGAGAGGACGACCAGCCACACUGGGACUGAGACACGGCCCAGACUCCUACGGGAGGCAGCAG
RNAcentral lists this ribosomal RNA (255 nucleotides) under uncultured bacterium. RNAcentral describes it as "partial 16S ribosomal RNA". It matches the Rfam family "Bacterial small subunit ribosomal RNA", at positions 99 to 354 of the family's 1533-position model. The record is from RNAcentral.